CCUACGGGAGGCAGCAGUGGGGAAUAUUGGACAAUGGGGGCAAGCCUGAUCCAGCCAUGCCGCGUGUGUGAAGAAGGCGUUCGGGUUGUAAAGCACUUUCAGCGAGGAAGAACGCCUAGUGGUUAAUACCCAUUAGGAAAGACAUCACUCGCAGAAGAAGCACCGGCUAACUCCGUGCCAGCAGCCGCG
This 189-nucleotide ribosomal RNA is filed under the name uncultured bacterium. Its description in RNAcentral is "partial 16S ribosomal RNA". It matches the Rfam family "Bacterial small subunit ribosomal RNA", at positions 338 to 519 of the family's 1533-position model. The record is from RNAcentral.